AAAAAAAAAAAAAGAAAAAAGUUUUGGCGGUUAAAUCAAUCCGGAUCCUCUAGACUGCAGUCAUUUUUCAUUUUCAAGAGGAAUCAUUUCAGCUUCAGUAGGCAACUAUAAAGAGGGCAGGACCUGGUCAGACCUCCAGUCAGAUGCAGAAGUGUCUGGACAAAGACUACUAAGCCAUGCUGAGGGAGGUGUUGACUAUAUUAGAGAUGGUGCUGGACCCACAAACCACUGAGAUUGCUUCAACUACAGGAGUUCCAGGUGCAGCCUUUGGUUAUUGAGGAAGGUUUAUUGCCCCUGCAAGACCUUCAUCAACAGUGUAGCCUGGAGCAAAGGAUGCAACAGAGCCCAGAUUACAAGCAAAAACUGGUAAACUGGUUGGUGCUUAUUGACGGGGCGGAUGUGUGUGACUGCACCUGGCGCAUAUUGAAGAGGGUGAUUGCCAACUCCCUGGCAAAGACCCUCAAUUGGAAGGGAGUCAAUGGAAAGACUUUUGACUCCCUUCCAAUGGCCACUUUGGCCACUCUCCAACUCGGAGAGGUUGUGAUUGCUGCAGUUCAAAGAAACCUCUUCACGGCUAAUGCUUCUGAGAUGGAGGUCGAGGGGACCAUGAAGAGAUGGCUCCAGCUGGCAUCAGAUUGAGAGUGUGGGCGCAUGAGUAGACUUUUGCAAAAGGAAGGUGUUUAGUGUUUUAACGGUGGUGUGUUGUUUUUUU
This is a long non-coding RNA of Ictalurus punctatus (channel catfish), 712 nucleotides long. The record is from Ensembl. Lineage: Eukaryota; Metazoa; Chordata; Actinopteri; Siluriformes; Ictaluridae.